UGGGGAAUAUUGCACAAUGGAGGGAACUCUGAUGCAGCGACGCUGCGUGAAUGAAGAAGGCUUUCGAGUCGUAAAGUUCUUUUAUAUGGGAAGAUAAUGACGGUACCAUAAGAAAAAGCCCCGGCUAACUACGUGCCAGCAGCCGCGGUAAUACGUAGGGGGCUAGCGUUGUCCGGAAUCACUGGGCGUAAAGGGUUCGCAGGCGGAAAUGCAAGUCAGGUGUAAAAGGCAGUAGCUUAACUACUGUAAGCAUUUGAAACUGCAUAUCUUGAGAAGAGUAGAGGUAAGUGGAAUUUUUAGUGUAGCGGUGAAAUGCGUAGAUAUUAAAAAGAAUACCGGUGGCGAAGGCGACUUACUGGGCUCAGUCUGACGCUGAGGAACGAAAGCGUGGGUAGCAAACAGG
RNAcentral lists this ribosomal RNA (403 nucleotides) under bacterium. RNAcentral describes it as "partial 16S ribosomal RNA". It matches the Rfam family "Bacterial small subunit ribosomal RNA", at positions 355 to 776 of the family's 1533-position model. The record is from RNAcentral.